UACGUAGGUCCCGAGCGUUGUCCGGAUUUAUUGGGCGUAAAGCGAGCGCAGGUGGUUUAUUAAGUCUGGUGUAAAAGGCAGUGGCUCAACCAUUGUAUGCAUUGGAAACUGGUAGACUUGAGUGCAGGAGAGGAGAGUGGAGUUCCAUGUGUAGCGGUGAAAUGCGUAGAUAUAUGGAGGAACACCGGUGGCGAAAGCGGCUCUCUGGCCUGUAACUGACACUGAGGCUCGAAAGCGUGGGGAGCAAAUAGG
This 252-nucleotide ribosomal RNA is filed under the name uncultured bacterium. RNAcentral describes it as "partial 16S ribosomal RNA". It matches the Rfam family "Bacterial small subunit ribosomal RNA", at positions 524 to 776 of the family's 1533-position model. The record is from RNAcentral.